UCACAUUUGCUGUUGGUAUCAAGGAGACUCCAGAUGGUUGUGGAUCUAUUACUGCAUGAGGCAAUGGAACAGUUAUCUCAGCUGAUUUCAAUGGAACAGUGGUACCUACCAUUGGUACAGUGUUAACUGCUUUUGGGAAAACUACAUCACUCGCAUAAAUUAGUACUAAUUCUUUCCUUGGGCGACCUCUCCUCUUUGCCAUAACACCUCUGCCAAAUUUACUUACCUAUGCAAAAGCAGUAGAGAAGAAGACGAUGAAACAAUGAAGCAAAAGAUGAG
RNAcentral lists this long non-coding RNA (279 nucleotides) under Nicotiana benthamiana. RNAcentral's name for it is "long non-coding RNA (NBEN_LNC018930)". Lineage: Eukaryota; Viridiplantae; Streptophyta; Magnoliopsida; Solanales; Solanaceae. The record is from RNAcentral.